Molecule: ribosomal RNA, 465 nt
Filed under: uncultured bacterium
Lineage: Bacteria
Description: partial 16S ribosomal RNA
Rfam family: Bacterial small subunit ribosomal RNA
Source: RNAcentral
GACGAACGCUGGCGGCGUGCUUAACACAUGCAAGUCGAACGGAAAGGCCCUGCUUGCAGGGUACUCGAGUGGCGAACGGGUGAGUAACACGUGGGUGAUCUGCCCUGCACUUCGGGAUAAGCCUGGGAAACUGGGUCUAAUACCGGAUAGGAGCCAUUUUUAGGGUGAUGGUUGGAAAGUUUUUUCGGUGUAGGAUGAGCUCGCGGCCUAUCUGCUUGUUGGUGGGGUAAUGGCCUACCAAGGCGGCGACGGGUAGCCGGCCUGAGAGGGUGGACGGCCACCUUGGGACUGAGAUACGGCCCAGACUCCUACGGUAGGCAGCAGUGGGGAAUAUUGCACAAUGGGCGCAAGCCUGAUGCAGCGACGCCGCGUGGGGGAUGACGGCCUUCGGGUUGUAAACUCCUUUCGCUAGGGACGAAGCUUUUUGUGACGGUACCUAGAUAAGAAGCACCGGCUAACUACGUG